UACGAAGGGGGCUAGCGUUGCUCGGAAUGACUGGGCGUAAAGGGCGCGUAGGCGGAUGGCACAGUCAGAUGUGAAAUUCCCGGGCUUAACCUGGGGGCUGCAUUUGAUACGUGUGAUCUAGAGUGAGGAAGAGGGUCGUGGAAUUCCCAGUGUAGAGGUGAAAUUCGUAGAUAUUGGGAAGAACACCGGUGGCGAAGGCGGCGACCUGGUCCGAUACUGACGCUGAGGCGCGAAAGCGUGGGGAGCAAACAGG
Molecule: ribosomal RNA, 253 nt
Filed under: uncultured bacterium
Lineage: Bacteria
Description: partial 16S ribosomal RNA
Rfam family: Bacterial small subunit ribosomal RNA
Source: RNAcentral